This 253-nucleotide ribosomal RNA is filed under the name uncultured bacterium. RNAcentral's name for it is "partial 16S ribosomal RNA". It matches the Rfam family "Bacterial small subunit ribosomal RNA", at positions 524 to 776 of the family's 1533-position model. The record is from RNAcentral.
UACGAAGGGGGCUAGCGUUGUUCGGAAUCACUGGGCGUAAAGGGCGCGUAGGCGGCUUGCCAAGUCGGACGUGAAAUCCCUCAGCUCAACUGAGGAAGUGCACCCGAAACUGGCGAGCUUGAGUACGAAAGAGGAUCGCGGAAUUCCCGGUGUAGAGGUGAAAUUCGUAGAUAUCGGGAGGAACACCGGUGGCGAAGGCGGCGAUCUGGGUCGAUACUGACGCUGAGGUGCGAAAGCGUGGGGAGCAAACAGG